CAACUUUCAACAACGGAUCUCUUGGCUCUCGCAUCGAUGAAGAACGCAGCGAAAUGCGAUAAGUAAUGUGAAUUGCAGAAUUCAGUGAAUCAUCGAAUCUUUGAACGCACCUUGCGCUCCUUGGUAUUCCGAGGAGCAUGCCUGUUUGAGUAUCAUUAAAAUCUCAAUCCUUU
RNAcentral lists this ribosomal RNA (173 nucleotides) under Hygrophorus quercetorum. RNAcentral's name for it is "5.8S ribosomal RNA". The stretch from base 2 to 155 matches the Rfam family "5.8S ribosomal RNA". From Rfam's summary of the family: 5.8S ribosomal RNA (5.8S rRNA) is a component of the large subunit of the eukaryotic ribosome. It is transcribed by RNA polymerase I as part of the 45S precursor that also contains 18S and 28S rRNA. The record is from RNAcentral. Lineage: Eukaryota; Fungi; Basidiomycota; Agaricomycetes; Agaricales; Hygrophoraceae.